ACCCCCCCUUCCCAGGUUGACCACCACUGUACAGUGUGAUACUUUUAUGAUGAACCAUGCAAUAAUAAUAAUAGUAAUUGGUCCAACGUCAGUUUUUAACAUUUAAACAGGAACACAGGAUUUUUGUAUAUGAUUAAUAAUAAUUGAAAUGUUGUUAUAAGCUUUUAUGGAACAACUGGAUUUCCAGGAGUAAUUGGUUGUAUAGAUUGUACCCAUGUGGCAAUUGUUCCACCCUCAACAAAUUUAAAUUUAGUUGAAAAUCAUCAUCCAGAAUAUUUAUACAUAAAUCGAAAAAACUACCACUCCAUUAAUGUGCAAUUAAUUUGUGAUUCUAAACUGAAAAUUUUGAAUGUCAAUGCAUUGUUUCCGGGGAGCACACAUGACAAUCAUAUAUGGAAUAAUAGCAACGUUUUACCAGUUGUUCAAGAAUUACACGAGCGUAAUUUGAAUGAUUACUAUUUAUUGGGAGAUUCUGGGUAUCCAUUACGCCAGUGGCUUUUAACGCCAAUAUUAAAUCCAAGUAGUGCAGCUGAAAUACAUU
This is a long non-coding RNA of Acyrthosiphon pisum (pea aphid), 541 nucleotides long. RefSeq lists it as uncharacterized. The transcript has 3 exons. NCBI's taxonomy places the organism in Eukaryota, Metazoa, Arthropoda, Insecta, Hemiptera, Aphididae. The record is from RefSeq and is a predicted model, not a curated record.